UCACAGAGCACAUUCAUUUAAAAUGGAGAGGAAGAGGCAGACAAAGCAGCUCUCUUUGGUGCCUCUGAAAGGCUUGGCUACAAAUGAGUGUGAAAUUGUCUGAAAUUCUGGCAGCAGAUAAAAUUUGGGAAGCAGAGGCAAAAAGAAAAGAUAGAGGAAGUAGCAAAGAAAGUAAUUCCACCGUGGUGGGACAAGGGUCACCACGGAGGUUUGCCUACCCCUUCCUCUCAGAUACCAUUUGCAGUCAGAUGAAUUUGUCCCCAGGAUCUUAUCUCCAUAUGCUGGAGUUAACAGGGC
Ochotona princeps (American pika) is the source of this 297-nucleotide long non-coding RNA. RefSeq lists it as uncharacterized. NCBI's taxonomy places the organism in Eukaryota, Metazoa, Chordata, Mammalia, Lagomorpha, Ochotonidae. The transcript is spliced from 3 exons. The record is from RefSeq and is a predicted model, not a curated record.